GGAAUAUCAACAAUGCAUUGCUAUUAGCCUCAACAGUUGUCCUUGCUAUUUCAGCAGCUGUGAGUUCAGUAUCACGAACUCGUCUCUGGUCUCGCAUUCCUUCAAGAGGGUGAUAGCCACUGUUGCCGACAUAGUUAGGGGAAUCAGGAACAGAAUCUGGGUAAUCUGCUGCAACUGAAAUUCUUGAAAGGCUACUCUCGUGUCCUACAGCAAGCCAAUGCGAUUGUGCAGCUCCAAAGAAAGGGUUCUCAGUCCUGAAACUUAUACCUGAAUGGUCAGAGAAUCUCUGAACCUCGUAUGAUGGCUUGAUCCAACUGCUUGCAGCUCCUAAUGAUGCUGAGCAACUACCUCCAUCAGCAUGACAUAUAAAACAUUGCGAGGGACCGAUGGAGAUUGAUGAUGAAGGCGCGGAGAUGAACAUCAAGAA
Molecule: unclassified non-coding RNA, 427 nt
Filed under: Hevea brasiliensis (rubber tree)
Lineage: Eukaryota; Viridiplantae; Streptophyta; Magnoliopsida; Malpighiales; Euphorbiaceae
Source: RNAcentral